This 253-nucleotide ribosomal RNA is filed under the name uncultured bacterium. Its description in RNAcentral is "partial 16S ribosomal RNA". It matches the Rfam family "Bacterial small subunit ribosomal RNA", at positions 524 to 776 of the family's 1533-position model. The record is from RNAcentral.
UACGGAGGAUGCAAGCGUUAUCCGGAAUGAUUGGGCGUAAAGCGUCCGCAGGUGGCAAUGUAAGUCUGCUGUUAAAGAGUGAGGCUCAACCUCAUAAGAGCAGUGGAAACUACAUGGCUAGAGUGCGUUCGGGGCAGAGGGAAUUCCUGGUGUAGCGGUGAAAUGCGUAGAUAUCAGGAAGAACACCGGUGGCGAAAGCGCUCUGCUAGGCCGCAACUGACACUGAGGGACGAAAGCUAGGGGAGCGAAUGGG